AGAUGGAACACGUCCCACAGGCACUAAAGCGGAUGUUUUCUGCAUUUGGUGUGGGAUCCUUAUGUGAGGGAGUCUGCACUGUGGGCUUCACAAUUUUGGCAACAGACUGUGAAAAAACCACCCCUGAACUUUACUACUUAUCUGUGCUGCUGUCAGUGAGCAGCUUGGCUUCUACAGUGCUUCUCUCAGGCCUGGGGCUCAAUUGGCUGGCCAGUGUGACCUGUACAAGGCCAGAUGCCAACCAACAGUCUAAAGCUGCAUUGGGGCCCUGCUGAUCUCCUGCUGCAGAUGCACAUCUUUGGUACCAAGCCUCCCGGUGUGUGUCACAGCAGCCCUGCCACCUGACAGCAAGCACACCCCCAUCUCUCAUGAACAAACAUCUCUCACCACUAUUUCUAGAUGAAGGUUCAGCUGUACCUUAGAGCCAACAGGAAGCACGUUAAAACCGGCCAUUUGGAAGAAAGCUGUCUUUAAGCAUUAACAACCACUGACAAGAGGAACAAUUCAACUGAAAUCACACAAUUGACUUUAUAACCAAAUUCACUCCAAGGAAGGAUCUCUUAUUAAAUACUUCAAGAUCGUUAUUUUGACUUUCUGAACAUCCUUUUUGUGUUUCAAUGGAGUUAGUAUUAUAAGCUAGAUGACUGCUACAGAUACAUAUACCUAAAAGGAAGGAAAUAUGUAAACCUUGGUAAUGAACAAAAGUUUAAU
RNAcentral lists this long non-coding RNA (711 nucleotides) under Dasypus novemcinctus (nine-banded armadillo). Its description in RNAcentral is "lncRNA (ENSDNOG00000051440.1)". The record is from RNAcentral. Lineage: Eukaryota; Metazoa; Chordata; Mammalia; Cingulata; Dasypodidae.